CUCCUCGUAGUUUAAUGGAUAAAACGCGGGCCUCCGAAGCUCGUGAUCCAGGUUCGAUUCCUGGCGAGGGGA
This 72-nucleotide transfer RNA is filed under the name bacterium. Its description in RNAcentral is "tRNA-Arg". It matches the Rfam family "tRNA". Rfam says of the family: Transfer RNA (tRNA) molecules are approximately 80 nucleotides in length. Their secondary structure includes four short double-helical elements and three loops (D, anti-codon, and T loops). The record is from RNAcentral.